UGCGCAGGUGGGCUUGUAAGUCAGUGGUGAAAUACUGCCGCUUAACGGUAGAACUGCCAUUGAUACUGCAAGUCUUGAGUAUGGUUGAGGUAGGCGGAAUGUGUUGUGUAGCGGUGAAAUGCAUAGAUAUGACACAGAACUCCAAUUGCGAAGGCGGCUUACUAAGCCAUUACUGACGCUGAGGCACGAAAGCGUGGGGAGCGAACAGGAUUAGAUACCCUGGUAGUCC
Molecule: ribosomal RNA, 229 nt
Filed under: uncultured bacterium
Lineage: Bacteria
Description: partial 16S ribosomal RNA
Rfam family: Bacterial small subunit ribosomal RNA
Source: RNAcentral